CUGCUGCCUUCCGUAGGAGUUUGGGCCGUGUCUCAGUCCCAAUGUGGCCGUCCACCCUCUCAGGCCGGCUACUGAUCGUCGCCUUGGUGGGCCCCUACCCCGCCAACAAGCUAAUCAGACGCGGGUCCAUCUUACACCACCGGAGUUUUUCACACCGGGCCAUGCGGCCCUGUGCGCUUAUGCGGUAUUAGCACCUGUUUCCAGGUGUUAUCCCCCUGUGUAAGGCAGGUUACCCACGCGUUACUCACCCGUCCGCCACUCGAAUG
RNAcentral lists this ribosomal RNA (266 nucleotides) under uncultured bacterium. RNAcentral describes it as "partial 16S ribosomal RNA". The record is from RNAcentral.